UCCGCCUUGGUUGAUGCGUUAGUACGGCGAGUGAGCGGCAAAAGCUCAAAUUUGAAAUCUGGUACCUUCGGUGCCCGAGUUGUAAUUUGGAGAGGGCAACUUUGGGGCCGUUCCUUGUCUAUGUUCCUUGGAACAGGACGUCAUAGAGGGUGAGAAUCCCGUGUGGCGAGGAGUGCGGUUCUUUGUAAAGUGCCUUCGAAGAGUCGAGUUGUUUGGGAAUGCAGCUCUAAGUGGGUGGUAAAUUCCAUCUAAAGCUAAAUAUUGGCGAGAGACCGAUAGCGAACAAGUACAGUGAUGGAAAGAUGAAAAGAACUUUGAAAAGAGAGUGAAAAAGUACGUGAAAUUGUUGAAAGGGAAGGGCAUUUGAUCAGACAUGGUGUUUUGUGCCCUCUGCUCCUUGUGGGUAGGGGAAUCUCGCAUUUCACUGGGCCAGCAUCAGUUUUGGUGGCAGGAUAAAUCCAUAGGAAUGUAGCUUGCCUCGGUAAGUAUUAUAGCCUGUGGGAAUACUGCCAGCUGGGACUGAGGACUGCGACGUAAGUCAAGGAUGCUGGCAUAAUGGUUAUAUGCCGCCCGUCUUGAACCACGGACCA
RNAcentral lists this ribosomal RNA (590 nucleotides) under Saccharomyces cerevisiae (brewer's yeast). Its description in RNAcentral is "eukaryotic LSU rRNA". It matches the Rfam family "Eukaryotic large subunit ribosomal RNA", at positions 64 to 668 of the family's 3401-position model. Lineage: Eukaryota; Fungi; Ascomycota; Saccharomycetes; Saccharomycetales; Saccharomycetaceae. The record is from RNAcentral.